RNA transcript from Gallus gallus (chicken), 1270 nucleotides. It is a transcript of the gene named mucin-2-like, with no coding region annotated. The record is from RefSeq and is a predicted model, not a curated record. The transcript is spliced from 3 exons. NCBI's taxonomy places the organism in Eukaryota, Metazoa, Chordata, Aves, Galliformes, Phasianidae.
GGGGUCCCCAUCUCCAUCCCAUGGGGUUCUCCAUACUCAUCCCAUCAGAGUCCCCACAUCCAUCCCACUGGGGUCCCUAUCUCCAUCCCAUUGGGGUCUGCGUAUCCAUCCCACUGGGGUCCCCAUCUCCAUCCCACUGGCAUCCCUAUCUCCAUCCCAUUGGGGUCUAUGUAUCCAUCCCACUGGGGUCCCCAUGUGCCCACUCCACCAGCGUCCUCAUGUCCAUCCCAUUGGGGUCUGCAUAUCCAUCCCACUGGGGUCCCCAACUCCAUCCCAUGGGGUUCUCCAUACCCAUCCCAUCAGACUCCCCACACCCACCCCACUGUUCUCCCCGCUCCCCAGCCCAGGGGGUGCAGCCCGAGUUGGCUGAGAGCUGAUGGGUUCGGGCGGCGAUGUGAAGACUCCCUAUUAAUAUUUAUUCCAUCAAGCAGCUCCGCGCUGCUCCGCCGUGCUCUGACCGCAGCACCAACCCUCAGGCACCACAAACACAAUUGGAAAACAAUGUGACGGAAAUGUUUAAUCUGCUCAGCCCAUCUGUGCUGCGUAUUUCUCCAGAUCUCCCUGAGAGAGGCGCCUUCGAAUCUCCACAUUGCCUUUAAUAUUCUCCUAAAUCACCUCCCCACCGCACUUCAAGGGCCAUUGCUACAAUAUCACAGGGUUGGUGUUCCUGUGCCCCUCGGACAGACGUGGGGAGAGGAGAAAAGGAAUAGGGGCCAAUUAUUUUCGCCUUUUAAAGCCUGAUGGAAGCGAGCAGCCGCCCGUGUUCGGCUCUGCCCGUGACCUGUGAAGAGGGCUGGGUGGUAAUUGUGCACAUGUGUGCGAGGAGCCGAGCUGUGAGCAGAGGGAUGGGAGCGGGGGGGGGGGGGGGGAUGCGGCCAAGUGUGACCCCCCCGACCCCCCCAGGGGCCAAAUGUGAUCCCCCCAUUGAGUCACCGGGCAUGGAGCAACUCCCACCUUCCUCCCUGCAUUGGGAUUUGGGGUGUCCACCCCUUGGAUCCCAUCCUUUGCCUAUGAUGCCUUCCCAUGACCCCCUCCAAACCCCCCCCUGGGUCACCGGGCAUGGCACAAACCCCUGCUUCUUCCAUGCAUUGGGAUUUGGGGUGCACACCCCUUGGAUCCCAUCCUUUGCCCACAGUCCCAUCCCAUGACCCCCCCAGCCCCCCUCCCAGGGUGAACCAGGCAUAGAGCAAAUCCCAGCUUGCUCCCUGCAUUGGGAUUUGGGGUGCACACCCCUUGGAUCCCAUCCUUUGCCCAUGAUCUCUUCCCAUGA